Molecule: ribosomal RNA, 497 nt
Filed under: uncultured bacterium
Lineage: Bacteria
Description: partial 16S ribosomal RNA
Rfam family: Bacterial small subunit ribosomal RNA
Source: RNAcentral
GAUGAACGCUGGCGGCGUGCCUAAUACAUGCGAGUCGAGCGAACAGACGAGGAGCUUGCUCCUCUGACGUUAGCGGCGGACGGGUGAGUAACACGUGGAUAACCUACCUAUAAGACUGGGAUAACUUCGGGAAACCGGAGCUAAUACCGGAUAAUAUAUUGAACCGCAUGGUUCAAUAGUGAAAGACGGUUUUGCUGUCACUUAUAGAUGGAUCCGCGCCGCAUUAGCUAGUUGGUAAGGUAACGGCUUACGAAGGCAACGAUGCGUAGCCGACCUGAGAGGGUGAUCGGCCACACUGGAACUGAGACACGGUCCAGACUCCUACGGGAGGCAGCAGUAGGGAAUCUUCCGCAAUGGGCGAAAGCCUGACGGAGCAACGCCGCGUGAGUGAUGAAGGUCUUCGGAUCGUAAAACUCUGUUAUUAGGGAAGAACAAAUGUGUAAGUAACUAUGCACGUCUUGACGGUACCUAAUCAGAAAGCCACGGCUAACUACGUG